This 358-nucleotide long non-coding RNA is filed under the name Vulpes vulpes (red fox). RNAcentral describes it as "lncRNA (ENSVVUG00000008513.1)". The record is from RNAcentral. Lineage: Eukaryota; Metazoa; Chordata; Mammalia; Carnivora; Canidae.
AUGCCAUUAAGUGUAUUAUUGGUUUAAUAUUACAGAAGAUUCUCUCUCUCUCUUUCACUCUCCCUAAUGUAUUACAGAGAAAGAGUCAGUGCGGAAGUGGAACUAAGGAAGAACGUAAAGAGAUGCAGCUGGAGCAGUAAACAGGGUCCAGAUCACAAAGGCCUCAUAAAACCAGCCUCCAGAUUCUCCUCUUUUCAGUCCUGAAAGUUGUCAUCAAGUUAUUCCUGAAGUUUGCUUUGGUCAUGUCAUCUUCCUGCUAAAAGCUGAUACAGCUGUCUAUUUGAAGUGGCGAGGAUGCUUGAAUUUUGGUGGAAGGGAAUGCCACAGAACAUAAUUUGUUGCUUUCUGACCAAUAAAA